RNAcentral lists this ribosomal RNA (606 nucleotides) under Bacillus sp. I14B-01181. RNAcentral describes it as "bacterial SSU rRNA". It matches the Rfam family "Bacterial small subunit ribosomal RNA", at positions 95 to 687 of the family's 1533-position model. The record is from RNAcentral. Lineage: Bacteria; Bacillati; Bacillota; Bacilli; Caryophanales; Bacillaceae.
GCGGCGGACGGGUGAGUAACACGUGGGUAACCUGCCUGUAAGACUGGGAUAACUCCGGGAAACCGGAGCUAAUACCGGAUAGUUCCUUGAACCGCAUGGUUCAAGGAUGAAAGACGGUUUCGGCUGUCACUUACAGAUGGACCCGCGGCGCAUUAGCUAGUUGGUGAGGUAACGGCUCACCAAGGCGACGAUGCGUAGCCGACCUGAGAGGGUGAUCGGCCACACUGGGACUGAGACACGGCCCAGACUCCUACGGGAGGCAGCAGUAGGGAAUCUUCCGCAAUGGACGAAAGUCUGACGGAGCAACGCCGCGUGAGUGAUGAAGGUUUUCGGAUCGUAAAGCUCUGUUGUUAGGGAAGAACAAGUGCAAGAGUAACUGCUUGCACCUUGACGGUACCUAACCAGAAAGCCACGGCUAACUACGUGCCAGCAGCCGCGGUAAUACGUAGGUGGCAAGCGUUGUCCGGAAUUAUUGGGCGUAAAGGGCUCGCAGGCGGUUUCUUAAGUCUGAUGUGAAAGCCCCCGGCUCAACCGGGGAGGGUCAUUGGAAACUGGGAAACUUGAGUGCAGAAGAGGAGAGUGGAAUUCCACGUGUAGCGGUGAAAU